CAAACGGGUGAGUAACACGUGGGUGACCUACCCCGAGGAGGGGAACAACUGUUGGAAACGGCAGCUAAUUCCGCAUACGGUCCGACAUUCAUUUGUCGGAGUAAAGGGCUUAGGCUCGCUUCGGGAGGGGCUCGCGGCUGAUUAGCUAGUUGGUAGGGUAAUGGCCUACCAAGGCGAUGAUCAGUAGCUGGUCUGAGAGGACGAUCAGCCACACUGGCACUUAGACACGGGCCAG
This 235-nucleotide ribosomal RNA is filed under the name uncultured bacterium. RNAcentral's name for it is "partial 16S ribosomal RNA". It matches the Rfam family "Bacterial small subunit ribosomal RNA", at positions 99 to 334 of the family's 1533-position model. The record is from RNAcentral.